ACCCACGAGCGUUGAAAAGCUCGGGGAUGACUUGUGGGUAGCGGUGAAAUUCCAAUCGAGCCCGGAGAUAGCUGGUUCUCCCCGAAAUAGCUUUAGGGCUAGCCUCAAGGUGAGAGAUACGGAGGUAGAGCACUGAAUGUCCUAGGGGGUAUUGCACCUACCGAAGACUAUCAAACUCCUAAUGCCGUCAUCUUAUACUUGGGAGUCAGACUGUGGGUGAUAAGAUUCAUAGUCGAAAGGGCAACAGCCCAGAUCGUCAGCUAAGGUCCCUAAAUGUAAGUUAAGUGGUAAAGGAUGUGGGAUUGCACAGACAACCAGGAUGUUGGCUUAGAAGCAGCCACUCAUUCAAAGAGUGCGUAAUAGCUCACUGGUCGAGUGAUCCUGCGCCGAAGAUUUCCGGGGCUAAAACUUACUACCGAAGCUCCGGCAUCAGUAAUGAUGGGUAGGGGAGCUUCCCUACGGGG
RNAcentral lists this ribosomal RNA (464 nucleotides) under Clostridioides difficile. Its description in RNAcentral is "bacterial LSU rRNA". It matches the Rfam family "Bacterial large subunit ribosomal RNA", at positions 778 to 1249 of the family's 2925-position model. The record is from RNAcentral. Lineage: Bacteria; Bacillati; Bacillota; Clostridia; Peptostreptococcales; Peptostreptococcaceae.